AUGUAUCACGUGCACUGCGGUUGCUGCGCUUCAUCCACACCCGCCUGACGACCGCUCGCGACGUGGUGUUCGCU
RNAcentral lists this small RNA (74 nucleotides) under Xanthomonas campestris pv. coriandri. RNAcentral's name for it is "sX9 sRNA". It matches the Rfam family "Xanthomonas sRNA sX9". The record is from RNAcentral. Lineage: Bacteria; Pseudomonadati; Pseudomonadota; Gammaproteobacteria; Lysobacterales; Lysobacteraceae. RNAcentral also lists the same sequence under 2 other names.